GUGCACUGCCGUACUGGGAGUUGUUCUCCAAAUGUCAAAGGGUUCUAUCAGCCCCUUGUCGAAGAACUUACGCCUUUUAUUGAAAAUUGCCGGACAGUGGCAUAGCAAAUGUUCCGAGUCUUCCUUUUCUAUGCCACAGAAGCGACAUACAUCAUCUUAAAGUUUUCCAAUCAGCUUCAAGUGAUAACGGCUCGGACAAUGACCUGUUAUAAGACCUGCAUAUAUAAAUACUAAGAUCUUUCUUAGAAAUGUUUGGAUUAAUAAAUCGCUUCGACUGCCUAGCAAUAGAAGUGUUCUUCCAGUUUUCCUCCACUUUUGAAGAUUCCCACGCUUUUAGCUCCAUUCUAAGAAAUGCAGCCGAUAAGCCACAAAAGGGCUCUGGCCCGAUGAACUUAUGAGAAGAUCCGAGUCUUGCUAGUGCAUCAGCUCUUUCAUUUCCCUCAAUCCCGCAAUGACCAGGAACCCAAUAUAAGUUGACUUGAUUAUGACAAGACAAUUUUUGAAGUGAUUGAACACACUCCCAGACAAGUUUUGAUGUACAUUUCGCCGACUUUAAAGCAUUUAGAGCAGCUUGACUGUCGGACAUGACGCAUAUAUUUGAACUCUUAUAGCUUCUACGCAAACAUAUAAUGGAACACUCUAAAAUUGCUUGGAUUUCAGCUUGGAACACAGUUGGCCAUCUGCCCAUAGGAACCGAUAUUUCUAUCCCUGGGCCACUUACUCCUGCUCCCACUUGAUUGUUCAAUCUUGAACCAUCUGUACUUCUCAUUGCACCUGUUAUUGAGAAAGUUGCUAACCUUUGGAGUUUUUCUAACUUCCUCUGAGCAACACUCUCUUUUGUUUUUGGCCACCAGACCAAUGCACCACAAGUAAUCCUGGGUUUCACAAUUGUCGAGUAAAUCCAAUGGAUCAUUUUCGGUUUCAGUCCCCACUGUCUACCGAAUGUUCUUUUGCAUAUCCAUAGAGCAUUAGUAGCUUUGUUUAUUGCCUGCUCUAGGUGCAUAUUCCAAUUAAGUUUACUAUCGAGGAUUACUCCAAGAUAUUUGACAGCAAUAGGAAGUUCCAAAAGUGUGCCUUUCAAUCUUAUGUUGUCUAAUGAAAAUUUCUUCCUUCGGAUAAAUGGCACGAUAGUAGUUUUAGAAGGAUUUAUGUUUAAUCCUUCCCUAUCACACCACGAUGAGACAAAAUUUAAAGCAAUUUGCAUUCUGUUAGCGAUAAUACAAUCAUAUUUGCCACGUACAACUAUGGCUAUAUCAUCUGCGAAGCCAAUUAUUUCGAAGCCUUGGGCUAUUAAAUUUUUGAGAAGAUCAUCAACUAUUAAAGACCACAAUAGAGGUGAUAACACGCCUCCUUGCGGGCAUCCUUUGGUUGCUCUUACACUGAUGAGUGAGCUUCCAAGGUUUGCUGAUGUUUCUCUUUUUGAUAACAUUUCAUUGAUCCAAUUUACAAUGCUCUGAUCGAAUGCUUAAAAUCAUAGUUUUCAACUACUUCCUCUGCCUCAUUUCCACAAAAUUAACUGUUCUGUUUUUUAAGCUGAUAACAAUUUCGUUUAAUAUGGCCUAUUUUUCUGCGAAAAUUGCAUAUAACAUUGACGUGGCGUGACGUAUCUCCUCGCUGAUCACGUUAGGUAUUUCUCUGCCUAUUUCCAUAAUUAUUACGGUAACCAUAUCUGCUAUCAUUCCAGCGCCCUUUCUCUCGAUCCAUACUUCCACUGCUGUUUCUAUAACUACCACCACUUACACGUAUUGAAAAUCUGUCUUCCCUAUCAUGAUUUAUUCUCUGGUAUCCAUUUUCCAAGCGAUAUUUAACCUAAUUCACACAUCUAAAAUUUUCUCCUUGUUCAUUCAUUUCUUUCAGCCUCAGCUUAGCUAAUUCAGUCCGUAUUACAGUUUGCUCUUAACUUGGCAGUAGCUUUCAAUGUAAGAAGCCUCUUACGAAAAGCCGUCUCUAGAUGAGCCACUUAACCUGUCUUUGUUAAGUAGAACAAAACUAGAAAUCCGAUGCAUAGCCAUUCAUCUCUAGUUAACGAGAAUGUGAGGGUGUUCCCACCCUGUGAUCAAACCUGCAUGAGCAAAGAACCCUCCAAAAUUGUAUCCUGGCUGAAGCAUUUUGUGAGGAGAGACUAUGUCUACAUGUUCGUCAGAAUGAUUUUCGUAAUCCCUGUAAAAUCCGAGAAAAUUUGGAAGAUGAUACAGUGGUGUCAAUAGAGCAAGCAUGUUCACGGCGGAUACACUGUAUUUAUACUUAGCUUCGAGUUGAGUUGGAGCCCAUUGAACAUGCAAAUUUAGUAUAACGAAGACAGAAUAAAUCGGAACCUUCUCGACUGCAAUGUAACUAUCCGAGAUCGGUUCAGGAACUGGCUCAUCGGGAACCUGAAUUAGCUUACUUGCACGAUUCAAGAGAUCAUAGACGUUGAGCGUUACAUACUUAGAGCAGUUGUGAAGAUCUAAAGCCCGAUUCAAAGUAAAGUUGGACGCAUUCAAGUGAUCAUAACUCAAGAAUUAAACAACAUACACGGUUGAUCAAAACGUCAAACAAAAGGGUAUUUAUUCAGCUUUCAAAUGAUACAUAACAAGUUAUUACAUUUCACCGUUUCGAACGAACUGUCGCACUUUAUCGAUGUGUGAUCGAUGCCAUCAUGAUCUGCACAGGUGCUGGUGACACUGUACAUACUUUAAACGCAUUUGUUGUGCAUUUGUCACUUCUUUACCGCAUCCUCGAAGUUUUCGCUUGACAAUUGCCCAAUAUUUUUCGAUCGGUCUGGACUCAGGGCAAUUCGGUGGAUUAAUCUCUUUGGCGAUGAAAUUAACAUUGUUUGCAGCAUACCAUUCUAGUACCUCUUUAGGCUCUGAACCAUUUGGUGGAUUAUUUUAACUUUUGGGUAAAAUUUGACCGAUGGAAUGUAAAUAUUUUCACGUCAUGCAUUGAAGACGUGUCCUACUAUUCUGCAAUUCGUGUACUGUCACUAGUGUGACGACAAAAUUCACGUCAUGUUAGGUGACUCGCCGUGAAAAUCAAAUAAAGAGUCACCUCACACGACGUGACUUUUUUUUUGCCACGUCACACGACGUGACUUUUGUCACCUCACCAGUUACAUUGAGUCACACUACUCGCAGAAUAGGGGAGGUCCAUUCUAUGGUACUUUCACUCGCUCUCACUCACUCAAGUAUCCUAAGCAGCUCCAUUGGGUCAACGUGAAAGAUUUACAUCCUGGGCGACUGUUUGCUAGCGGCUUGAUCUACCUGGUCUAAUUGUUGGAUUUCCUUAUUGAGGCUCCGCCGUCGUGAGCCCUUGGCUAAGCCUCUGCUGCGAUGUCCUAGUUUCCGUAGUGUGUGGCUGAUCCACCUUGACUUCCGUGCUCGGAUUUCUGUUGAUAUCGGCUUCUGAUGACAUCGACGAUGGAGAUUAGUAUUCGAAAUCCAGUUGUGGGUCCGGCAGGUACGAAUGUUAUACUCGCUAGCACAGCACAGAUUACACGUUAGUUCGUUGACUAAUCUGGUUUGAUCUCCAUAUAUCACCUUCGGAUCCUGGGUUGAAGGACGAGUUGAGUUCGUUGAAGCUUGACCUGCUGCUAGGGUAACGUGUUCGUCGAUUAAUCUCUCAUCAGAAAACACGCUGGCAAACAUGUAAGAGAACAAGCGGUAGACCUCCUGAGAGGUGGAAACGACUUACCGUUCAAUCGCAUUUACGAUGGUAGGCUGGACUCUAUGCGCUGCUUAUUUAAGUACUUGCAAAAGCACUUUGGGUGUGACUUGAGUUUACUCUGAAUACCUAGUUGAUAUUGCAAGUAGCAUCGACGGCUACCCGAGCAAAGUCGGUUAACAAAAUGAAAGCAAAUCGAUAUUAAAGUUUGCAACUCAAACAACUUAACUUGAAGUACUGCUGUUAACGUCUUGUUUAAAAUUUAAUUUAAGUUCAUCUGUUGUUGAACUAACGAUUAUUGUUUAUUUGUUUUGUAUAACACAUUUUAGGACGUUAGUGUUUUGCUCGGGAUGAGAUUUGAUCCAUUAACCAUUUACACCAGGUCCGUAUUCAGUUAAACAACAUGAAUGCAAAAUCAGUAAUCAAAUUGAUUUAAUUGAUAGCAGGAUUAGUUUUCCGUUUGAUUCAACAGUGUAACAUUGUGCUCUCAUUUUAGCUGUGUUAACUGGAGUAUUCAAUAUAAGUUACAUAAUAACAGCAAAUUAUGAUUUCAAUUUGAUCUUCUGCUUUGCUCGGGUAACUAGCUUCAACUCAUAAUUGAUCCUAACGCAGUGGUGCUUCAGCGAAAGCGUCUGAUAAUUGAUGAAUUUCCUCAAUGCGGCUCGUAUAAUAUAACGUAUCUUUGUUCUUGGCAUGUUGGGCCUACCGCAUCCUCCUGUCGAUGACGAUGAUCAGACGCCUUAAACAUGAAGAAUAGACGCUAUGUUAAGUAGUUUCUAAUAUGGAGAACAGAAGCCGCACCCUUAGAAGACCUUCACCGUUCCCUAUCAGCAUACGACCAAACUCCCACCGGUCUUGAUUAGCUAAUCUUUCCUAUGACUAUCCGUACCGCAACGGGCACCGCGGCGUGGUAGGGAUAGGACUUAGUGGGCAAGAGAUAGGACCAGCCAAUUUUAUACACGCAGGUACGCGUAGCAGCUUAGGAAUAAUUUGAUUGCCAUCGAACAGCGAUAAACGCCUCGAAAGCGCACCUAUCUGACGACCCACGUGGCGUUUUUUUCUGCUGAUUUACAGAUCUGUUCUGAAAUACCAUCGAUUCUAUGUCAACCCAACAUCCGGAACUCUGCGGAAUCGCAAGUAAAGUGUUGCUUAUUGUAUACACCUUAAAUUUAAUCAGUUUGCUUUCUUCGACAAAGAUGUUUAUGAAUUUGUUUAGAAUCUGUAUACGAACUGAAGAUUCGGAUUAUUUUUGUAUACAGCACUAAGUGUCUUAGGUAGGUUUUCAUUCCGAAUACGACAGGGUGAAGGAAUAGAAGCAGAAGCUUUAGGUAGGAUUAAAGAACAUUUUUGAAAUUCGAUCAACCAAAAUAUGAACAGUUGCUGACUGUAAUUCAUCAAAAUCGGUGAUCCAUCAGCCCAUUUCGUUUUAUAUGAAAACUACAAGCUUACUUUCCAACAACCAACGACAUUGUAGUACCGUACAUCAACACUAUAAGGUUGACAUAAAGCUAAUAUUGUGCUGAUUAGCAGUUAUAAUUACUGAAUGCCUGUUUGAAUAAACAAUGUUGUUAUUAUUUUCAAUAGACCUUUCUCGUUUUGAUACACCUCAAAAUUUGAUAUUUUUUCCAAGCGGAUUUUGGAUCUUCGAGUGAAACGGAGUUUUAGAAUAAACCAUUUUGUGGGGUUUUAAAGUUUAAAUCUACAACUAAUGCACAUAAUUCACCGAACCGUUUCUGGAUCAUGAUUAGUUGAUAAAUAAUUGUGUGCAUCAAAUGCUGAAAAUAACUCCACAUAUUGAAAAAUUGUGCAACUUUUGUGUUGCACUGAAAAGGUCUUUGUUUUGAUGCAAAAAUCACUUUUAACUUUUACUUUUAUUUAAAAAUCUUCUAAAAAACAAAUUAACAAAACAAAAUGUAAGGGUGUUCCAGAUCAAAAGAGGUAUUCAGGUCGGUCUCGAUUAUCCGCGGUGGAUUUUUUUUUCACUUCAUCAUCGAUUUCUCGCACACAAAGUAGUACCACCAUCGGACAGAGAAGACAAUGCCUAUUCUAUUGGUAAUGUUGAUUUAAAUGAUUGAGUUUGUGUUUGCGAUAAUCGAGAUCAACUCCGGAUAAUCGAGUCCUACUUGUAUCGCCAAGAAUAAAAUAUUUUCAGUCGCCAAUUGUACGGCAAUUCGAAUACCGAAUGCAUUGUGGACUGACCAGAUAUUUUGAAAUAUCACUACCUAAUUACUUUCUCGAAACUAUCUCCACAGUACUCUCGAGAGCCGCACUGCCGUACAACAGCUGCGUCAGCAGCACUCCGGUGCUGAUAGAAAACGUGAACAGACAGUAGCCAGAAAAUGCUGCACCAAUUUGUAUAGAAAACCAACUAAAAUGCUUUCAAUGUAGUAGAAACAAUGUGACAAUUCACUUUCGAUGAAAAUUAUAUCAAGUUGUUGUAGCGAAUUGAUAAUCUCUCCUACACGUAUUGGAUAGGUGUUUUUAACCAGCAUAGCAUAUUUGAACCACGAGACUACGACUAAAACCAAUGCUAGGCAAUACUUCGAGGAAACGUACUACUAGGUAUCUUUAUGUCGUCUCAACACCCCAGUAAGAUGUAGUGAAAUGGAAGAAGAUACACACUGCCAUAACAAUGAAUUUAGUUUUCCCGUGUGACAUACCAAACUAAAUAGACAAAACCGAUCGAUAGCCAAUUUUCCGGAAAUGUUUAACACACUUUUUCAUCCAUAGAUAAAUCGAAGUGUAUAACCUUUAUAAUUGUUUUCCAAUCUUCUACUAACCGAGAGAAUAUAACUACUUUUAUAAUAGUUAAAGAAUGAUUAAUAGACGACCAGCGCAGCAAUGAAUGUGUUUUCCCGUGUGCCAAUCUCUAGCGAAAUUUCAUCCCAGUUGUGUUCGGGUGCAGCGGGAAAAAUGUCCUUGCAGUAGGAUUUUGCCUUGAUUACCAACAAAACCACACUACAGACAGCUAAACCCUGAUUUUCAACACGCCUAAAAGCAACUUCGUUGGAAACGACAUAUGUGGCAGCACCUCAUUAAAAUUUAAGCAAUCUAUUCUCCAGCUACUUCUCCACAUAUUUCCAAUAUUUCAAAAUAAAACAUCUCUUAACGUGUUUCCACAAGUUGCAUCAUAUGUCGUUUUCAACAUAAUACAAACCAAUAAUAAAGAUCACGAUUCACAAAUCCCAACCCACAAAACCCUUACGUGCAUACUAGUCAGCUAAAAUAAAUAGCAAAAAUAGCGAUUGAAAUGAUCGGACGAUGAUUGAUUCAGAUAUGUGCCGAUUGUAGACAGAAAAAAAAGCAAAAACAGGAUUUCUCAAAAAAAAAAAAAACGUGUACAUAAAAAGAUUUAAAGAGUUUGAGUAAUGAAAGAGAAUUAAAGAAGAAAAAAAAAUGCAAUAACAAAAACUCCAAUAACAAUUGUCACCACAACAUUAAACUAAUGUAACAGUGUAGAAAACAUUGAAAAGAAGCACUAAGACGUCCGAUCUCUGGUGUACUGAUUGAAGAAUACAAAAUGUAUAUCAAUCAUUUUUUAGGCGGUGAUAUGCAACACAAACACAAAAACACAUACACCUACACAACAUACUUCCGAAAUGGCAAGUUGUAAGAGCAAGAUGUAGAAUAGAUGGUAUAGAAUUGAGCAUACACACAACACACCCACAUACACUAACACUGUGAAAUCGUAACAUAAAUACGAAAAAAAAAGAUCAAGGUAGCGUUAAUCAUUACUGUUUCUUUUCAUUAUUUUACUGAUCAGUCAGAAUAACAACGGAAAGCAUAACGAUUGUACCGAAGAUUUACAAAAAAAGGAAAAACAUAAUUAGUAGUAGCAAGAAACAAUGAACGUUGAACUACAUGAAAAAAAAAAAUGAAAAAUACUAAAAACAUAUACACAUGCUAUAUAUUUAUACAACCUUUUUUCAGCAUAAUGAAAAAUAUUUAACGAAUAAACAACACGGGGAACCGAACGUUCCCUCUUAGAUGUUCAGUUAAUGAUGAAAAAUAAUAAAAAUAA
Molecule: long non-coding RNA, 7663 nt
Organism: Ochlerotatus camptorhynchus
Lineage: Eukaryota; Metazoa; Arthropoda; Insecta; Diptera; Culicidae
Exons: 2
Source: RefSeq, a predicted model, not a curated record